RNAcentral lists this long non-coding RNA (644 nucleotides) under Pan troglodytes (chimpanzee). RNAcentral's name for it is "lincRNA". The record is from RNAcentral. Lineage: Eukaryota; Metazoa; Chordata; Mammalia; Primates; Hominidae.
AGCCAAUGCCUGAAAUAAUGAACUCCUCCAAGGCAAGAAAUCUGUUUUGAAGCUUCUCUGCGUUCACACACAGCAGCCUGGUUUCCUGGCAGGGCAUUUUCCACAUUGUGCGUUAUGGAUGAUCAUCCCAGGCAUCAGGAUGUGAAGCCCUGCAUCCACAUCCAGGGGCUAUCAAAUCUCUCUGCAAAAGGAGAAUCUGGACUCAGGCACGUUUACAGUGAUGUGUAUGCAGUUCCGUGAAGGAAGCUGCAGAAGAAAAAGGUGAAAGAGGUGAGGAAGCUGCAGAAGAAAACCUGGAAGUUAGCAGAGCUUGAUCCAGAGGUUUAAGGAAAGAAGCCAUCUCCAUAACAUAAAAGUGCAAGGUGAAGCAGCAAGUGCUGAUGGGGAAGCUGCAGCAAGUCAUCCAGAAGAUCUUGCUAAGGGUAUGCACAGAUGUGGAAACAGGAACUGAUGUGUCCAUUACACCACUAGGACAGAGGCCAGAACAAUGAAGAAACCAAAUGCUUGGAAGAGGGUAGAGAUAAUGAAUGGAGUCCAAGAGCCCUGAUUGUGCCAUAAAUGUCCAGAUAAUUCCAUACCUGAGGAUUAUGUGGUUUGUAAACUUGGCACUUAGAAGAACCAAUAAAAUUAUGUUAUAGUUUCAA